Molecule: long non-coding RNA, 2454 nt
Filed under: Homo sapiens (human)
Lineage: Eukaryota; Metazoa; Chordata; Mammalia; Primates; Hominidae
Description: HSALNT0022924
Source: RNAcentral
ACAAACCCCCAAGUCUCAAUUGUCUUAACCCUUGACAUAAGAUAAUAUUAGUCCUACCUCAUAGAGUUUUGCAGUAAAUUACACAGAAAUAAAAGCGCUUAUGGGGACCUAAGACAGAUCCUAUCCCAAAUAGCCAAGCAGUGAGUGCUACACUAUUCUUUUCUCAUAUGUUCUACCCAGAAUCAAGAUUUCACUGGAUUUCCCUUGAGGUGCACAUUUCCUGGAUGAUUUCCACUUGUGAAAUAGAAGAAGAUUCGUUUCAAAAAAAAAAAAAAAAACACCUGGCCAGGCGCCGUGGCUCACGCCUAUAAUCCCAGCACUUUGGGAAGCCGAGGCGGUUGGAUCACCUGAGCAGGAGUUCGAGACCAACUUGGCCAACAUGGUGAAACCCCAUCUCUACUAAAAAAAUACAAAAAUUAGCUGGGCACGGUGGCGAGCACCUGUAGUCCCAGCUACUCGGGAGGCUGAAGCAGAAGAAUCGCUUGAACCUGGGAGGUGAAGGUUGCAAUGAGCUGAGAUCAUGCCACUGCCACUCAGCCUGGGCAAGAAGAGCGAAACUCUGUCUCAAAAAAUAAAUAAAAUAAAUUUUUAAAAAUUUUAAGAACCUUAUUUUAAAGAUCAGGUUUAUAAAGUCUCAUCAUAACAAAAUGAAGCCAAAACUUUGUAAAUUAACUAGAGUUAGCUUAGCUAACAUUUUACCUAAUAAAUUACUAAUGACAUUUUUAAAACAAAACUGAUUUGACAUCAGGAAAACUAAGCAAUAAUUUUUGUUCAUUUCUACUUCGUGGACUCAAACAUACCAUGAACAAUCAGAUCUAUAUGUAGGCUGCUUUCUCAACAAAGGAACUGUUUGGUAUUUUUCUCUUCUUUUUUAAGUCUACUAAAGGCUGUGUAAACUUGGAAGUGGGGAAUUUUCAGAAAGUUCUCAGAAAGAUGCUUGUCACUCACAACUAGCAAGUUGUGGGUUUUCAGAAUCUAUAAAGUAAAAGUCACUUAAAAGUCCGCAUCUUGGCACCAUUGUUGUUAAUGAGGCCAUGAGUGGCAAAGCCCCUUUCCCCAUUCACAUAACAAAAGCAAAGCAAAACCCUUCAGUCCUGCCACUAAAGCCAACCAAAACACACAUGCGGCCAGGAAGCUUUCAUAUAUAAAAUACAGGAACCCCCAGCGGAAUGCAUUCCAAUGUGGCAGUUAUUUGGCUCUGGUCUCCAGAGGAUCUCGGUUCCCAGGAUUGAAACAUCUCUUUCAGGAAAGACGUGUAGGUAAAGUUUCACGUGGCGUGAGAUCCAGUUGGAUUCUUUUGGUACUGUUACAUAAGGAACAAACUUCUGUAUGCUGCAAACUGCAGAAAGCCUUUAUUCAUAAGGUAGAGGUACCUCAAAAGCUGUCCGAUAAAAACACAUUUCUACUGAUGAUGUUUGAUAUGGUUUCUAUUCACACAGAAAUGGAGCUCACAAUUAACAUGAUGCAUUAUGUCCAUCUCAAUAGCAAUUUAAAAAUUAUUUGAAACUUCUUCUACAUACUAUAUGUAUGUUUGCAGCACUUAUCCUCUUUUUUUUUUUUUUUUUUUUUUUUGAGAUGGUGUCUCCCUCUGUCACCCAGGCUGGAGCGCAAUGACACGAUCUUGGGUCACUACUGCCUGUGCCUCCUGGGUUCAAGCAAUCUUCUCACCUCAGCCCCGAGUAGCUGGGAUUACAGGUGCACGCCACCAUGCCCAGCUAAUUUUUGUAUUUUUAGAAGAGAUGGGGUUUGGCCGUGUUGGCCAGGCUAGUCUCCAACUCCUGACUGCAAGUGAUCUACCCACCUCGGCCUCCCAAAGUGCUGGUGAGAGGUGACAGCGUGCUGGCAGCCCUAGCAGCCCUCGCUCACUCUCUGCACCUCCUCGGCCUCGGCGCCCACUCUGGCCGCUCUUGAGGAGCCCUUCAGCCUGCCACUGCACUGUGGGAGCCCCUCUCUGGGCUGGCCGAGGCCGGAGCGGGCUCCCUCACCUUGCGGGGAGGUGUGGAGGGACAGGCGUGGGUGGGAACCAGGGCUGAGCACUGGGCUUGCAGGCCAGUGCAAGUUCCAGGUGGGCGUGGGCUCGGCAGGCCCCGCACUCGGAGCGGCUGGCCGGUUCCGCAGGCCCCAGGCAGUGAGGGGCUUAGUACCCAGGCCAGCAGCUGCGGAGGAUGCGCUGGGUCUCCCAGCAGUGCCGGCCUGGCCCACCAGCGCUGUGCUGGAAUUCUCGCUGGACCUCAGCUGCCUCCCCGCAGGGAAAGGCUGGGGACCUGCAGCCUGCCAUGCCUGAGCCUCCCCCACACCAUGGGCUCCUGAGCGGCCUGAGCCUCCCAGAUGAGCGCUGCCCCCUGCUCCACGCGCCCGGUCCCAUUCCGACCGCCCAAGGGCUGAGGAGUAGUGUGGGCACAGGUCGUGGGACUGGCGGGCUCCCUGAUGCAGGAUCCACUAGGUGAAGCCAGC